Molecule: long non-coding RNA, 4181 nt
Filed under: Canis lupus familiaris (dog)
Lineage: Eukaryota; Metazoa; Chordata; Mammalia; Carnivora; Canidae
Description: lncRNA (ENSCAFG00845003993.1)
Source: RNAcentral
CCCAGUCCUGGGGCCAUGCUCCUUGGGAGCUCCCAGUUCCUGGCCAAGGAUGGCCUGGUUCUUGGGGGCCUCCCAGCCUACCCACAGAACAUGACCUCCUCUAGGGCCCUUGGCCAGGCCUGAAGCUGGAGAGGCAACUGGAAACAGUAGGGCAAGGGCCCUGCUGUCUCCCACUGGCUGCAAUAGGUUUCAGAAAAGUGCAGGGGUGCUGGGCUAAGGAAAACAACGAUUUGGGAAGAAAGAGGCUGGGCAGUGAGUAAAUGGACACUCAGGAUUGGGAACCAUGCAAAAAAGAGGUGCCCUGUCUGCUCCUCAGUGUGAGAGAGUCACCCCUUGUGCAGCCACCACACCAGUGUCUGGCCCAUCUCAGUCAUGCUCAGCACAAGGAAGCCUUUGCAUUUCAGCUCAUCUAGGACUAUGCGAGGAGGGUUAUUAAUAAAGUGCUAACAAAAGUUGUUUCCCAAGACACUUCUCUUUGAGGCCCCCAGAUACUGAACCUGCUCUAGAUCUGAGUACUUACCGCCCACCAGGGUGGGGCGCACUUCUGUGUGGAUGUGGGUGCUGAUGAGGAGAUAGGGCAUGGUGCAUGGGUUCUGGCCAGGCUCCCACUCAGGGCUUUGGGCUCAGCAUGGAUGCCAAACCCUCAGGUUCCAGAACUGCUGUAACCCAUGGCCUGAGUCCAGUUACUCCAGCUCUCAGGGCUGGGGUUUCUUAUAUUACAUGAAACAUCUAAAAAUAAAUAAAUAAAUAAAUAAAUAAAUAAAUAAAUAAAUAAAUAAAUAAAUAAAUAAAUAAAUAAAUAAAACAUAUGAUUAUGUACAGCCUUGGAUUGGAAGGUUGUGCAUUCAUCUGCUGGAGCAAAUUAUUGUAAUAAGACAAAGAAUCCAAGUCAAAACAGGAUGAAGGUUUGGUGGUCUGAAUGUGGGCUGUUUGCUCUUUUGUCAUAUCUAGUAGAUGUGGUUACUUCAAAGCUUCAUAUUUGUUUUUUGACAAGUUACUGUUGAAAACAGGUAAUAUAUGCACAUAAUACCAAAAAAAAAUUUUUUAUUGUGUAAUGGAAAGGGAGUCUCCUCCCUCCACCCCUAGUCCUUUCCCUCCUUGAAGGUAAGGACUUUAGACUUUACUGUUACUUAGGUGUUGUUCAGCCUGGGGCUGGGGCUGAGUGUGUGUGUGUUUUUUUUUUUUUUUUUUUUAAGUCUCAACUUUCUUCUUUGGAAUAUAUUUCUCUUCUCUUCUCUUUACACUCUAGGCUCUAGUCUAGGGCAUUUAUGCAGAGACUUGGACCUGUAGCUUUGUAUGACUAAUCCUAUUUGUCCUGUCCCAUAAAGUUCAUUCUCCAUAUCUGUCACCUGGCGCAAAAGUCCAUGUUUCUCACAGGAUUAGCCAGGAGGUGAUAAUAUCUGGAGUUUUUUUUUUUUUUUUUAAUAUUAGGCUUGCUACUUUUAAAAUACAUAUUUGAAAUUUUCCAUGAUCAAUUUUUAAAAAUUCAUAUUUCUUUAGUAGGGGCUCCUGCAACACACCUAUCUGAUUUUUUAAUUUGUUUUAAAGUAAUACUUAAUUGUAACCUACAAGUAAACUGUAGGUGGAUCUCUAGACAGUCUCAUCCCUACCCCCCAUAGCCACUCAAAUCAGACAUUCAAAAUUCCAAAGUUACAGACAUGAACUGGGAUGAUUAUUCAGCUUCACAAGCCGUUCUUCUCUUUAAACAUAGGAUUGACCUCAAAUUUAUUUUGAAAAGCCAGCUUCUCUGGCAGGCAAAAUUUGAUUUGAUUGAUACACUAAGUUUUUCAAGAGUAUAAAUGUCAUGCAGAGCAGAGGACUUAUAUUCAGCCUGGAACCAUACUUUACACAAUUUACAGGCUCAAGAGCCAGGGAAGGAAGACCUCUCGUGCCCAACCCUCUCAGUCAGACAGAAACCAAAGCAUGAUGGAUGGCUGGCUUCACUCAGCCACUUUUACCUCCCAGCCUAAUUUGGUACUCCUCCGUGGCAGGUGGUUAAGGAGUCAGGUCUUCUCCAAAGAUACACAGUCUAGGGAAAGGAGCGAGGCUGUUGGUGUUUUCCAAUUCAAGUCCCAUAUGGUUUGCCUGGGGCCAUUUUAUUUUUGAUGUCCUUUGGUGCUCUCUUCUUUGUCUUGCUGUUACCGGGUCACCCAAGGCCUCUUCAGUCAUCAUUGCAAAUAUUCCCACUGGUCAGGGAGCUCCCAGGGAGCAUCCCUUUAGAGCAGCUGUCACAUUUGAACAGCAUCUGCUUUCUGACAAGCUUGAAGACAGAAUUAAGGAAGUCGUCGAGCCUUUCCCAGUGGAAGUGGAGAACACAAACAGCCUUUGGGACUUGGAUCAAUACACUGAGUUUAGUGGUCUGGCAGCUUGUGUCAGGGGAAGGCAGGCUGAUUCCCAGAGGGGGCCAGGAUCUCAUGGUCCUGGCUCUGUUGUCCGUGCAGGGUCCUUAUCCUGGAAUGGUUCCCUCAGCCUUUGGCUCCAGCCUUUUCUAGACAGGGAAGCAGACCAAGGUAAAAUGCUUGCUGUGUUUGAAAAAGAUUCUGCUCGCUGCAGCCAAUAAGCCCAAUAGCCUGGGAGGUGAAUGACCCUUCCCAAGAGAUUUCUGUUGCGCCACUCAUCCGGCCUCCGGCCCCUCACACACUGCCCGCCCCAGCCCUCCUGCUCCUUCUCUCUGACCUGACUCCACUCAUGUCAGCUGUCCUCUUGCUGCUCCCUGGAUGGUUUCUCUUCAGGCCUUUCUGGUUUUAGUACUAUUACACUUUUAUUGGUUUUCACUCUCUGCUUUUUCUUUCCCUGAAGCUGUUUUUCCUCAUAACUCUGUAUCUUUUCAUCUCUUGUGUCCACUCUAUCAAGUGUGUGUCUCCAUCUGCUGCUCCUUGUCUGACUCUGUCAUGGCUUCUCAGAAUGUCCUCUUGCCUGCACCUUCGUAUAGCCUGCUGGAGGACAACCUGCCCCCACCUGGGCUUUGCUGACCCUGGAAAGAAGUCGGUACGGGGAUUUUGAACAGUUGGUGGAGGAGCCCUACCUUGAGCAAUCCCAGUUGUGGGGCAGGUGACAGCACCAGUCUGGGCAAUGACCUCAAAGAUGGCGGCUGUCUCUGGGCAGUGUGGCAGUGAAAUAGGAGGGGUAGAGGGAAGUAGGGGACACAGAAGUGACAGCCAGCACUCAUCGAAGGGGAUAAUCAGAGAAGGAGGUGAAAGAAGGCCGGGCAGCAGCUAGAUGUCACCAGGGAAAGCUGAGCAGGAGCUCCACGAGGGGAGAAAACCAGGGGAGUGGGACCUGCCAGAGAUGCUGCAGCCCAGCUCUGCCCAGCAGAGGCCAGUGGCAUGGGGACGGGGCCAGGAGAAAGGGGAGCUUUAAAGACCUUUUCUCCCCGUGCAUCUCUGGUCCUUUUGUUAUUUUCCUUUCCUGUUCCUGCCCUCAUGUUAUAUUAGCAACAGAAAACAAAACAAGACAAAAAGCAGUCUGUCUUUGAAAGUGAAUGGCAAAAUCUGGAGAAUUUGAAGCUGGAUGUACAUACUUCCCCAUUUGCUGGACUCUCGGGCCCCUUUGCCCACCAGGCAGCUGGAGCCAGGAGGGCUAGCCCCUUCCUGGAAUGCCUUGAAUGGAGUCUCUAUACCAGUUUGACAGCCGGAGUGCCAGUGGCAAGGGCAGCCAACAGUGGUGCCCACCCACAGAACCCCUCCAUGCACAUGGUGCAGGCAGGGGAGCAGGGCUGUUGGCCAACCCAGCUGGAGGGCUAGGACUGGUCUUGGGCUGGGCCUGGGCUGAGGGUUGGCUUCCAGUGCAUGAUGCCAAUCCUAGCACAGUCUCCUCUACCCCCAGGAAAUGAGCCGCAGAGAGGCUUUGGUAGAAGAAAAAGAAAGGAAAACUCUUCUCUUGCUUAAAAAAAUGUUUAAACUGAAGAGGUAAUAAAUGCAUGUGGCAAAAAAAAUUCAAAAGAUACAAAAGAAUAAAUGAUGAAAAGCCUCCCACUUCUGUUCUCAAGUUCCCCUCCUCAGGCAUCCUGGAUGUACCAAUUUCUUGUACAUUCUUCUUACUUCUCCUUUUUUAGGUCUGCUGUAAUCCAGAAGUUUUUAGAUUCUUGACCCAAUGGAAUAUUUUAAAUUGUUUGGAUGUAUAUGUAUUUAUGUAAUGUGUGUGGAGGGACUAAAUGAUUAAUAAAGAAAACUGUAUCUCGG